Long non-coding RNA from Callorhinus ursinus (northern fur seal), 284 nucleotides. RefSeq lists it as uncharacterized. The record is from RefSeq and is a predicted model, not a curated record. Lineage: Eukaryota; Metazoa; Chordata; Mammalia; Carnivora; Otariidae.
CUAAGGAGGCUACACUCUUCACACAGAUGUGGUGGGAUGCAAGUGACUGAGUCCAGUAGAAAAGACCACACCCAAGUUGUUGUAGAGGCUGCUUUGUGACCACAGGCUUGAGCCAUGGAAACUCGGUCAAGGCAAAAGGGCCCAUGGGACCCCAACCCCCUGGCUGAAUCCAGACAGGCCCAUCAGGCGACCCAUCUCAAAAUAGCCAUAGGCCCUAACUAACCAACGCGCUGCUGCGGACAACCAGGCACCGCUACCAAAAAAGGGAAAAUUUCGUGCAUCCC